UAUUCUUAGUAUAUUUGCUGUGCUUGUGUUGUGUUUAAUAACGUAUACUGGAAAAUAUAUAUGUUGAUAUAAAAUACUUAAUUAAUUUCACUAUUUGUUUUGAUUUGAUUAUUAUUAUCUGGUGACUUUUUUUAUCGCUUGUGAAGAUCGACUGUGAAUGUGGAACACAUUUAACGACAAUGCAGAUAAUAUUAAAAUUUCUACUCUUUGCUGCCCACAUUUUCCACAUUUGUGGAAAAGUAAUUCUUUUACGUGGAGAAUCAUAUCAUACAAAUUCAUCUGUAAGUGAGAGAAAAUAUAUAUGUCUCUCAGAAAAUGACGGCGGCGCACUUGUAUGGAAUGACGACUUAGUCCUUCGAUAUCAGCAAGAAAAUCGUACUGACUUGCAGUUCGACAGUACACAUGUAUACAAUACCUGGAUACAUUGCAAAAUAGACGCA
Long non-coding RNA from Pseudomyrmex gracilis, 440 nucleotides. RefSeq lists it as uncharacterized. The record is from RefSeq and is a predicted model, not a curated record. The transcript has 2 exons. Lineage: Eukaryota; Metazoa; Arthropoda; Insecta; Hymenoptera; Formicidae.